GUGUACUACAUUACCCAGAAGCGCUCCUGCUGAAACCUGAAAUUUACACAGUAAUGGUGAUAUGCUAAUAAAGCAAAGAGUGAUAAUGCAUGAUAAUGUUAACUUCCAUAAACUGCUUGAUAAGAGCCAAGAUAAACUAUAUUCAUUUCUGACUCUAGAUUGUUGCCACAGCCCAGCCUGUUGUUUUUUCUUUGUUUGUAGUUUUUUUUUUCUCCAGGGUUAAAAGUGAAAGUUUUGCAUAGGAUGAGAGGAAGGCUUACUGGCGAGUGAAAGGCCGACGUGUCCAUCAGGCUGGCUGCUUCAUGACAGGAAAACAUGAAAGGUCCCGAUCCCAAACUCAGUUCUUCCAGGUUGUCCUGGAAAAUACUGCGUGUGGCCGCGACAAAGUCUGACAAUCAGAAAAGCACCACAAAGAGGAAAAGCUCAUCCAUCACAUCGCCGUGGACACCUUGUGUCACAUUUCAUUUCAUUUCAUUUUCUUUCAUCCUCAUGAGGGUCGAGGGGGUGCUGGAGCCUAUCCCAGCUGUCUUCAGGCGAGAGGUGGGGUACACCUUGGACUGGUCGGCAGCCAAUCACAGGGCAUAUAUAGACAAACAACCAUUCACACUCACAUUCAUACCUAUGGACAAUUUGGAGGCGCUAUUUAACCCGGCAUGGUGGAAUUGAACUCGGGUCUCCUAGGUGUGUGUAACAUUUGAUUAAAAAAAAUGCAUUUAUGUAGUAUCCUACACUACACACGAGGUAGCGGUAAUGUUACAUUGACACAAUAGCCACUGCGGAAAGUACAGGAAGCAAAAAAAAGAACAAUAAGGAACUCUCCCAAUGCUAACGUGUGUGUCUAUAUUAUGUCCUAUUUUCUGCUAUGUCUACUAGUUUGGGUCAUAUGAGUGUAAAUGUGACUAUAGGGGUGUUAUUCAUGUCUAGAGGGUCUGAUGUUUCUACUUUGCAGAAAUUCACUCAUUCAUUGAUUGGAUGUGGAAGAAUGAACCGCCAUAGAUGCUGGAUGCUGGAUGAGUGUACUGUAUCCUCUUACAUGUGUGUAUUGAAAGCCAACACUUUUAGGGAGGAAAGUGCGGACACAGAGCAAGGUCAUGCUAACACAACGAGACAUGGUGGCGUACGCGUCACAGCUAGUCAGUGAUGUAGCUUGUGAUUUGACAGCCACUCAACACAGAUCUGUCACAGAUCUGCCACUGAUGUGUGUGUGUGUGUGUGUGUUUAGGUACCUCCAUAGGCCACGGUGCCCUGCGGGUCUGUGGUCAGGUUCUGUCGCAGCUUCUGUCUUUUCUCAUCUGUGACAUCCAAGCCAAGGAAGGUGAGAGCCUGCAAGAGAUGAAGAGAACACGACACUACUUUGGUGGCACGGGCUGCUGGUGACACACAUGGGUCUGGGUUCUUAUGGCUUCAAGGUGGCUUCAGGACACAAGCAUUGACACCUGAAAUGUGGAUAUCUGGUGGACAGAUGUCAGGGGAAGGCGAGGACACUGACGGUGACUCCUCUGCACAGAUCUGCAAAGGAAUAGAACUCAUCUAUGAAGCAAUACAGAGAGUGUACAUACAGUGGUGGUAUUUGCCGGCCCCAGUUAAACCACAGGACUGUACCGAGACCACAGCACCUUCUCUGGUCAUUUCCAAGCUUGGGCUAGCGUGAACCGCGGAGAGGACAUGUAGCAAGACAUGUUUACACUCGGGAAUGAGCAUCCAACAUCAUCAGACGCUGUGGUCAUGACAGGUGACACCAAACAAUAACAAAACAUUUUCCAUAAGCACAACUUGAACCGCUAAGAAGCUGGCAAUGUGGGCACAUGGAAGUAGCAUGGAUGAAACAUGAAAAAAAAGCAUGAUAGAAGCUUCACCGUCACUAGAUGCAAGGCCCCCUGGUAGAAUCCUCUUCACGUAAACUCCAAACUCCUCUCCCGUCAGCUCCUUCACUCCUCCAAUCACUUUAAUUCCUGUUGGGAAGACAAAUCCAUCGAUUCAAACGCCGCAUUUCUCAUCAGGCCUGCAGCAUCAAAGGCAGUCGGAUAGAUAACGUUAAACCCCAUAACGUUGUGCUUCUCACGACCAGAUACACAUAAGCCAUGACGUGCUUUUUUUUUUAAAAAGUUUGUGUACAUCUAGAGGUAAUUAUUUCACACCUAAAGGCUUUUAUUUAGUCCUUAGAUUAGUCCUAAUUUUUUCUUUUAAUCAGUUAGUCUGAGCUAUUUUUAAUGCUGUCAGAUUUAUUGCUAUGACAUUAUCAUUUCCUCAUAUUAGUGGGAUUAUUA
Doryrhamphus excisus (bluestripe pipefish) is the source of this 2267-nucleotide non-coding RNA. Lineage: Eukaryota; Metazoa; Chordata; Actinopteri; Syngnathiformes; Syngnathidae. The record is from RefSeq and is a predicted model, not a curated record.